Molecule: long non-coding RNA, 1120 nt
Organism: Helicoverpa armigera (cotton bollworm)
Lineage: Eukaryota; Metazoa; Arthropoda; Insecta; Lepidoptera; Noctuidae
Exons: 2
Source: RefSeq, a predicted model, not a curated record
UGAAGAAAAAUAUAAUAAAACAGAUACAAUCGCACAAAACAAAACUAUUUGAAGAAUACAACAUUCAAGAAAACAAACAAACAAAAAUUUGUGAAAUGUCAUUACUGUGGACGCAAAGGACACAAGAAACAGGAUUGUUUCUAUUUCAAAAGACAGACAAAUAUACAAAACAAUGCCCCAGAAAGGACAAGACAAGUCCAAACUAUUGCCCUGCAAGAGGGAACGACCUCGAAUUCUUCUUUUUCAGGAUUUGCGUUCAUGACAAGCGCAUACCAUUAUGAAAAAGACCACUCGACAAUUAAAUUCCUAUUAGAUUCAGGAGCGUCUGAUCACAUCACAAAUAGAGAUGAUCUCUUCACAUCGUUUGAAUGUUUAAAUCCUCCUUUAAAAAUUUCAGUAGCUAAAAACAAUACAUUUAUUUCAGCAACUAAAAGGGAAACAUAAAUCUUAUCAGUCAAACAGGAGUGCAAGGAAUACUUACAAAUGUAUUGUUCUGUGCCGAAGUACCAUAUAAUUUAAUAUCGGUAUCAAAGAUGCAGCAAGCAGGAUUCACCAUAAUAUUUGAUGACAAAGGCACACAAAUUACAAAGGAAGGUAAAAUCAUCAUGAAAGGUAACCAGUUGGCAGACUUGUUGACAAAACCUUUACCAGUCGUGUCUUUUAUAAGACUGAGAAAAGGAUUGGGUAUAGAAUAAGUUUUAAUUUAAGUACAAUUUCAUUAUGAAAUGGUCUGAUCAGGUUUUUCUGGGUUUUCCCUGAUCCUGUGCAGCAAAUGUUGGACCAUUAUUGUACAGUUGUCCCAGACCUUACUUGGAAGUAUAAUAUGUUACGUCGUAUUUAUAAGUUAGUAUUCACUUUGUAAUGUUGAAUUGUAGACUAGAUACUGUAUAGUAAACUAACGAAUGACUAAAAGUUAGGGAUUAAUUUUUGAGGGGGCGUGUUGGAUUAUAUAAAGCAAAAACUAAUACCCCUAACUUUCGAUAACAUUGUUCUUUGUUCUAUCUGAACAAUCUACUGUUUAUUUAACUCUACACACACUGCGUCACGGGAUCUUGUUAGACGGACGUAUUGCUUCCAAGUACCAUUUAAAGUAUAGAAUAAAUAUUUCAAUAUCAAAUUA